This 2451-nucleotide long non-coding RNA is filed under the name Homo sapiens (human). RNAcentral describes it as "HSALNT0315771". Lineage: Eukaryota; Metazoa; Chordata; Mammalia; Primates; Hominidae. The record is from RNAcentral.
CAAGAAGCAGCCCAGGCGAUCCCAAGGCGCACAAGUGCUCUCACCAGGCUGCGCGCUGGCGGGUCGGUGCACAGGGACGGGGUCGCCGCCCACGCGCGCUUGGUUCAGGGAGCCCAGGCUGUCCCUACCCGCGGCUACAAAAGCUCGCCGAGUCUUCCUGUCCACCCAAUCGCCCCACAUGUCAGCGGUUGGUCGCCUCGCGGUGCAGUGCUGGGCACGCGAGCCCCUCCCGCAGUCAUUCUCAGCACAAGCACCAGCCUGGAGCCCCGCAGCGACAGAGCUGAGAGCCCCCAAGCCGCAGAGGUCGUGCGGAGCAGGUUGCAAAUGUCUUAGAAACACACUCCUGGACCACAGCUUCAAGAGACGCAAGCAGUCACCUCAUCUGCUGGUUUCCAAGCUGCCCUGCCAGAAGCAGGUCAGGGGUCCCACAGGGGUCCUCAGUAACUCCUCAAAAUCCUCUCCCAUCAAUGGCCCCACCAGAUCAUCCCUACUUUUGAAUGCUUGUCCAAUGCAGGUUCCAGAUUUGAUUAAGUGAAACAAAGCCCCAGCUGCUGGAGCAGAGGUUCCACUUGGGUUCCACAGACACCCACAGCCCAAAUCCCUGGAGGCCUAAGGCAAUAGCUAAUUGAGACUAUGCAUCACUAUUAAGGCAUCUUCACUAAAGGGCGCUGUGGAAACGCUGCCUGAGAUGCAGACACCUGUCAGAAGGGGGCUAAAUUUCAAACAAGGAACGUGGUGUUGCAUCACAAUAAAUAGAUACGGGGUUUCACCGUGUUAGCCAGGAUGGUCUCGAUCUCCUGACUUCAUGAUUCACAUGCCUCGGCCUCCCAAAGUGCUGGGAUUACAGAACAGAAGAAACACACGUGUUCUUGUGUGUAAACCCAGUCCAUGGAAGAGACCGUCUGCUUGUCCCUCCUGAUCUCUGGGCCCAGACAACCAGUAGUCACCAUUCCAAGUGAGGGGUGGCUGCAACUCUACAGCCCCGUUCGUCUCUCCUCACUGUCAAAGCUGCUGAGACCCCAGACUCGACACUUGAAAGAAACCCAUGUCUGUGAAGCACUUGUGGACCAUUCAAGAUUGUGGAAGAAUCACUCAAGAGAAGGAGAUAGCAAUAUUUGCAGAUAUGCAAACUGGCCCCUUGCAUGCACAUCCUGGAGCACGUCCUGGAGCCUUUAGAGGAGACGGCUGCUGCUGUUCCAGUCUCUCCUUAGGCAGACUUGAGUUUCUACCCACUCUUCCCAAGCAGCCGCCCCUCCGCACCCGAGCGAGCCAAAGACCUGGCGGGCUGAGUACUCACUGCGCGCUGGACACAUGCUGAGCCGGCACUGCAGGGACACAGGGCGAGCCGCUGGAUGCAGACCUGUGGCCGCGGCAGUUGGGCUUAUCUUGCCCAUGAAGUUGCCUCUGAAGAACCAAGUCCAACUGUGUAUGCUGAGAGAUGUCUGGCUACUUCCUGAUUGACAGUUCUGGCAAGGUGGCAUUGGGCCCUGGCUUUUCCUCUGGAGGCAUCAUCACUUAUAGGAAAAUGUCCCCUGAAGUCCAAGGAUCAAAGCUGCUGGAACACUGAGAAGCUGAACAAAGGAGAACUGUUUCUCAUCAAACCCAGACUUCCAGACUUCCAAUAGGGUAGAAUGAGCAAGUCAGCAAAUCAUCUUCCUUGGAAACAGUGAUAAAACUAGAUGACAUUGUCAACAACAGCCAUUUCAGAAAUCUAGAAAAUGACCAAAGGCAAACAACAAACUGAGAAGCAUUUUUUUUUCCAUGAAAAAUCGCUCUAUUUCUGCAAAAAUAGUGGGAGUCUAUGGCUUCUCAUCCAGGGCUGUUUCUCUCCCCACCCCAGCUCAGUCAGUACAAAGGUUCUGGCAGCAUGAGGCAGACUGAACAGACCUGAAGUUUGAUUGCUGGAAGAAACUGACUCCAGGUUUGGCAGAGGGUGAGAAACCUACUCCCAGCCAUGUUGUCUGGUGACACAGUGACCUUAGGGACAAGUGAAUAGGGAAGGCCAGUGAUUCAUUAACCUGAGGUUGCAGUCCUGGUUGGGGAAAGCAUCAGAAUGGCAGAUAAGCUAGAAAUUUAGUAGGGAUAUGCUGGAAAUGAGACAACCCCAAAGGGGCUUGACCCCAAAGUUGUCCACACACCCCAGCUGCCUUCUGAGCAGAUGUAGGGAGAGACCAGAGAAGGCCUAGGCUAUCCACACAUCUCUGGCUAACCCAGGCUGUAAACCUGUGGAGGAGACACAAGAGGUGGAUUGAUUGCUAAUGGGCAUAUGGGGGAUCUUACUGGUUGAUAGGAACAUUCUCAAAUUGGAUUGUGGUGAUGCUUGCACAACUCUAAGUUUAUCCCAAAUUGCUAAAUUUUACACUAAAAAGGGGUGAACUUUAGGGUAUAUAAAUUAUACAUCAAUAAAGUUGUCAUAAAGCAUUCACAUUCUAAUAAAUGGCUCUAAGAAAU